CGUGUAGGCGGCCGGGUAAGUCAGAUGUGAAAUCCUUCUGCUCAACAGAAGAAGUGCAUCUGAAACUGUUCGGCUUGAGUACGAGAGAGGAAAGUGGAAUUCCCAGUGUAGAGGUGAAAUUCGUAGAUAUUGGGAGGAACACCUGUGGCGAAGGCGACUUUCUGGAUCGAUACUGACGCUGAGACGCGAAAGCGUGGGGAGCAAACAGGAUUAGAUACCCCUGGUAGUCC
This 230-nucleotide ribosomal RNA is filed under the name uncultured bacterium. RNAcentral describes it as "partial 16S ribosomal RNA". It matches the Rfam family "Bacterial small subunit ribosomal RNA", at positions 568 to 796 of the family's 1533-position model. The record is from RNAcentral.